Molecule: non-coding RNA, 377 nt
Organism: Ictidomys tridecemlineatus (thirteen-lined ground squirrel)
Lineage: Eukaryota; Metazoa; Chordata; Mammalia; Rodentia; Sciuridae
Source: RefSeq, a predicted model, not a curated record
GGGACACAGCACCUGUCCCUUAGAACCUGGUUCCUGACCUGUGGAACCAAUAGGCAUGUUCUAUGUUACACCAUUGUCUAGGUGAUAGCCCUGUCCAUUCUGAUUUAAUUCUUCUGGGAUGGGCACUAGGAAUCAGGAUUAUCUUUAAGCUCCUUGGGGGUCUCCACUAUGACACAAAGAUUGAGAAUCACAGGUUUUGCUCUUACAGCCCAGGAAAGGAGAUGGACGGUUGUGCCCCCUGACUUAGCAAGCUUUUCAAAGAAGACCUGUGUGUACUGGGAAAUCAAGGACCAGCGUGGCUUAGCUUGUCACAAGGUCCCAGCCUGAGACCCCUCCACCCUGCUGUAAAUGCUGCUCCAGAGAAACCAUGGAACUAG